AGCCGCCAUCGACAACGUUCUGGAAAACCUCCAUGAGCUGCGGUUGCCAGUGAUGUCCCUGACCUGCUGCUGCCUGAGACCACUCUGUCCCGCUGCCGUCGGCCACAUCCCAAACUUGCAUCUGACAGGGCAUUUUGGUACGACGCAGUACAAGGUACAACGGUUGUGCAGGGCAUUUCUUCUCUGUUGGCCAGUGAAUGUGUCCAACUAUCAGUGGAUUUAUGAUACAUGCCUGCCUUUUGUUGUAUUAUUGUAUAGAAAAUGGAAACAGGUUGCCAGUGAAAGUGUCCAACUGUCAAUUGAUUUAUGAUAUGUGCUUGCUUUUUGUUGUGUAGAAAAUGAAAAUGGGUUGCUACUGAACGAAUGAACCUGAUUGAACAAAA
Lolium perenne is the source of this 383-nucleotide non-coding RNA. NCBI's taxonomy places the organism in Eukaryota, Viridiplantae, Streptophyta, Magnoliopsida, Poales, Poaceae. The record is from RefSeq and is a predicted model, not a curated record.